RNAcentral lists this ribosomal RNA (253 nucleotides) under uncultured bacterium. Its description in RNAcentral is "partial 16S ribosomal RNA". It matches the Rfam family "Bacterial small subunit ribosomal RNA", at positions 524 to 776 of the family's 1533-position model. The record is from RNAcentral.
UACGGAGGGAGCUAGCGUUGUUCGGAAUUACUGGGCGUAAAGCGCACGUAGGCGGCUUUGUAAGUUAGAGGUGAAAGCCCGGAGCUCAACUCCGGAAUUGCCUUUAAGACUGCAUCGCUUGAAUCCAGGAGAGGUGAGUGGAAUUCCGAGUGUAGAGGUGAAAUUCGUAGAUAUUGGGAAGAACACCGGUGGCGAAGGCGGCGCUCUGGACCGAGACUGACGCUGAGGCGCGAAAGCGUGGGGAGCAAACAGG